UUUGAUCAAUUUGAUUCAAUGGAAAUAAUUGUCACAAAGAAUUCCCAAGAACAAAAGAUGAUGAGAUAUGUCUGGUGACUGCUCUAUUUAUAGCCUAAAACUGACUUAAGUCCUAAGAAGUAAAUCACUAUAAUGUUCCAAAAUGAAAUCCAUGAGCUUUUAGGCCAAAAACAUAACAAAUAACAGUUGAAACCUUGGCAUGGGUCGUGCCAGUCUUGUAAGAAAAAGCAGCAAAAGGGAGCUGGGGCAUCGAGCACGGUCGUGCCACCACAGGCACGGGCCGUGCCAACUUCUCUGGAAAAUGGCCUCCUUUGAAUAACUUGGAGGCAUGGCCGGUGCCAUUGUCAGGCACGACCAUGCUUGAUAUUUUUGCACAGGAUCUUUAUAUUUUUGUCUUCAAUCAGCUCCAAAUUAUGCUCUAGAUCCUUCCAUCCUUUAAUUAUGCUCCAAAACCCUUUCUUUUGCUCCAAGACUCAAUAUUUCACCAUAUUUGUUCCUGAAAUUAAAUAACAAGCAAUUGAAGUAACAAAACUCUAUAAAGUGAAUAAAAACACAUAAAAUCUAAAUAAAAUAAAUUAAAAUAAACUCUUAAAAAUAUUAAUUAUUGACUUAUAAACAAAAUAUAAUAAACAAAUUGGAUAGACUAAAUCCAUGUUAAACCAUAUUAUAGUGACAAAAGUACUAUUAACUCUUCUUUUUAUAAUAUGGAGGAGAAGGAUUACUUCCAAAUCCCAAAUCAAGCAAAGGUUAUGGUACUAUUUCUAUUUUCUAAUGUCUUGACUCCUUCCACACGUAUACAUGGUAAUAGUAUAUGUAUAUUUUCCUUUGGAAAGUACAACACAAGGCGUGUUCUGUUUUAGUUUUUCCUUUCAUUAUUUUUC
This 881-nucleotide long non-coding RNA is filed under the name Medicago truncatula (barrel medic). RNAcentral describes it as "long non-coding RNA (MTRU_LNC001386)". Lineage: Eukaryota; Viridiplantae; Streptophyta; Magnoliopsida; Fabales; Fabaceae. The record is from RNAcentral.